RNAcentral lists this ribosomal RNA (406 nucleotides) under uncultured bacterium. RNAcentral describes it as "partial 16S ribosomal RNA". It matches the Rfam family "Bacterial small subunit ribosomal RNA", at positions 30 to 526 of the family's 1533-position model. The record is from RNAcentral.
AUUGAACGCUGGCGGCAGGCCUAACACAUGCAAGUAGAGCGAGCGGCGGACGGGUGAGUAAUGUCUGGGAAACUGCCUGAUGGAGGGGGAUAACUACUGGAAACGGUAGCUAAUACCGCAUACCAUCAGAUGUGCCCAGAUGGGAUUAGCUAGUAGGUUGGGUAACGGCUCACCUAGGCGACUAUCCCUAGCUGGUCUGAGAGGAUGACCAGCCACACUGGAACGGAGACACGGUCCAGACUCCCACGGGAGGCAGCAGGGGGGAAUAUGGCACAAUGGGCGCAGGCUUGCUGCAGCAAGGCCGCGUGUGUGAAGAGGGCCUUCGGGUUGUAAAGCACUUUCAGCGGGGAGGCGUUACCUGCAGAAGAAGCACCGGCUAACUCCGUGCCAGCAGCCGCGGUAAUUC